GUGGCAUACCUGUAGUCCCAGCUACCCGGGACACUGAGACAGGAGCAUUGCUUGAAUCCAGGAGUGCUGGGCUGUAGUGUGCUAUGCAGAUCAGGUGUCUGCACUAAGUUUGGCAUCAAUAUGGUGACCUCCCAGGAGUGGGAGACCACCAGGUUGCCUAAGGAGGGGUAAACUGCUCCAGGUCAGAAAAGGAGCAAGUCAAAACUCCCGUGAUGACCAGUAGUGAGAUUGCACCUUGAAUAGCCACUGCACUCCAGCCUGGCCAACAUAGUGAGACCCCUUCUCU
This 286-nucleotide signal recognition particle RNA is filed under the name Jaculus jaculus (lesser Egyptian jerboa). RNAcentral describes it as "Metazoan signal recognition particle RNA (ENSJJAG00000006109.1)". It matches the Rfam family "Metazoan signal recognition particle RNA". From Rfam's summary of the family: The signal recognition particle (SRP) is a universally conserved ribonucleoprotein. The record is from RNAcentral. Lineage: Eukaryota; Metazoa; Chordata; Mammalia; Rodentia; Dipodidae.